GAUGAACGCUGGCGGCGUGCCUAAUACAUGCAAGUCGAGCGGUAAGGCCCCUUCGGGGGUACACGAGCGGCGGACGGCUGAGUAACACGUAGGAACGUACCCCAAAGUGAGGCAUAAGCACCAGAAAUGGUGUCUAAUACCGCAUGUGGCCCUCGGGCUAAAGCUCCGGCGCUUUGGGAACGGCCUGCGCAUGAUUAGCU
RNAcentral lists this ribosomal RNA (200 nucleotides) under uncultured bacterium. RNAcentral describes it as "partial 16S ribosomal RNA". It matches the Rfam family "Bacterial small subunit ribosomal RNA", at positions 28 to 246 of the family's 1533-position model. The record is from RNAcentral.